CCCUUUGUAGCUCAGUUGGAUUAGAGCAUCGGACUGUAAUUGCAAAAACACACACCUCAUCCGGGGGCCCCCGGUUCGAUUCCGGGCGAAGGGA
Molecule: transfer RNA, 94 nt
Organism: Pseudogymnoascus pannorum
Lineage: Eukaryota; Fungi; Ascomycota; Leotiomycetes; Thelebolales; Thelebolaceae
Rfam family: tRNA
About the family: Transfer RNA (tRNA) molecules are approximately 80 nucleotides in length. Their secondary structure includes four short double-helical elements and three loops (D, anti-codon, and T loops). Further hydrogen bonds mediate the characteristic L-shaped molecular structure. tRNAs have two regions of fundamental functional importance: the anti-codon, which is responsible for specific mRNA codon recognition, and the 3' end, to which the tRNAs corresponding amino acid is attached (by aminoacyl-tRNA synthetases). tRNAs cope with the degeneracy of the genetic code in two manners: having more than one tRNA (with a specific anti-codon) for a particular amino acid; and 'wobble' base-pairing, i.e. permitting non-standard base-pairing at the 3rd anti-codon position.
Source: Rfam